UACACUUUGCCACACUCUGGACUCUGCCCACUUCUCCUGUGGCCUUGUCCAAUUUUCAGUGCAAAGAAGAUUGACUUUUUGUGUCCUACUACUCACCGGCAUGUCUCUUCUCUUUCGAGAGCGUGGGCAUCUCGGUCCAUGUUUAAGGUCAACAA
This 155-nucleotide small nucleolar RNA is filed under the name Aureobasidium melanogenum CBS 110374. RNAcentral describes it as "Small nucleolar RNA snR80". It matches the Rfam family "Small nucleolar RNA snR80". The record is from Rfam by way of RNAcentral. Lineage: Eukaryota; Fungi; Ascomycota; Dothideomycetes; Dothideales; Saccotheciaceae.